This 455-nucleotide ribosomal RNA is filed under the name uncultured Clostridium sp. Its description in RNAcentral is "bacterial SSU rRNA". It matches the Rfam family "Bacterial small subunit ribosomal RNA", at positions 923 to 1382 of the family's 1533-position model. The record is from RNAcentral. Lineage: Bacteria; Bacillati; Bacillota; Clostridia; Eubacteriales; Clostridiaceae.
GCACAAGCAGCGGAGCAUGUGGUUAAUUCGAAGCAACGCGAAGAACCUUACCUAGACUUGACAUCUCCUGAAUUACCCGUAACUGGGGAAGCUCUUCGGAGCAGGAAGACAGGUGGUGCAUGGUUGUCGUCAGCUCGUGUCGUGAGAUGUUGGGUUAAGUCCCGCAACGAGCGCAACCCUUAUCGUUAGUUGCUACCAUUAAGUUGAGCACUCUAGCGAGACUGCCCGGGUUAACCGGGAGGAAGGUGGGGAUGACGUCAAAUCAUCAUGCCCCUUAUGUCUAGGGCUACACACGUGCUACAAUGGUGAGGACAAAGAGACGCAAGACCGCGAGGUGGAGCAAAUCUCACAAACCUCAUCCCAGUUCGGAUUGCAGGCUGAAACUCGCCUGCAUGAAGCCGGAGUUGCUAGUAAUCGCGAAUCAGCAUGUCGCGGUGAAUACGUUCCCGGGCCUU